GGUGAAGGCUUGACCUCAAAUCAGGUAGGACUACCACGCUGAACUUAAGCAUAUCAAUA
RNAcentral lists this ribosomal RNA (59 nucleotides) under Pisolithus albus. Its description in RNAcentral is "partial 28S ribosomal RNA". Lineage: Eukaryota; Fungi; Basidiomycota; Agaricomycetes; Boletales; Pisolithaceae. The record is from RNAcentral.